GACGAACGCUGGCGGCGUGCUUAACACAUGCCAGUCGAACGGAAAGGCCCUGCUUUUGUGGGGUGCUCGAGUGGCGAACGGGUGAGUAACACGUGAGUAACCUGCCCUUGACUUUGGGAUAACUUCAGGAAACUGGUGCUAAUACCGGAUAGGAGCUCCUGCUGCAUGGUGGGGGUUGGAAAGUUUAGGCGGUUGGGGAUGGACUCGGGGCUUAUCAGCUUGUGGGGGGGGUAGUGGCUUACCAAGGGUUUGAUGGGUAGCCGGCCUGGGGGGGUGGCCGGCCACAUGGGGACUGAGGGAGGGCCCAGAGUCCUACGGGAGGCAGCAGUGGGGAAUAUUGCACAAUGGGCGGAAGCCUGAUGCAGCAACGCCGGGUGCGGGAUGACGGCCUUCGGGUUGUAAACCGCUUUCGCCUGUGACGAAGCGUGAGUGACGGUAAUGGGUAAAGAAGCACCGGCUAACUACGUG
This 468-nucleotide ribosomal RNA is filed under the name uncultured bacterium. Its description in RNAcentral is "partial 16S ribosomal RNA". It matches the Rfam family "Bacterial small subunit ribosomal RNA", at positions 28 to 507 of the family's 1533-position model. The record is from RNAcentral.